GAUGAACGCUGGCGGCGUGCUUAACACAUGCAAGUCGAACGGAAAGGCCCUGAUCUUGCGGGGUGCUCGUGUGGCGAACGGGUGAGAAACACGUGAGUAAACCGCCCUUGUCUUUGGGAUAACUCCAGGAAACUGGGGCUAAUACAGGAGAGGAGCUCCUGCAGCAUGGUGGGGGAUGGAAAGUUUCGGCGGUGGGGGAUGGACUCGCGGGUUAUCAGCUUGUUGGUGGAGUAGUUGCUUACCAAGGCUUAGAAGGAUAGCCGGCCUGAGAGGGGGACCGGCGACAAGGGGCCUGCGAGACGGCCCAGACGCCUACGGGAGGCAGCAGUGGGGAAUAUUGCACAGUGAGCCGAAGCGUGAGACGACGGCGCCGCGUGCGGAAUGACCUCCUUCGGGGGAAGAACCGCUUUCGCCUGUGACGAAGCGGGAGUGACGGUAAUGGGUAAAGAAGCACCGGCUAACUACGUG
RNAcentral lists this ribosomal RNA (468 nucleotides) under uncultured bacterium. RNAcentral describes it as "partial 16S ribosomal RNA". It matches the Rfam family "Bacterial small subunit ribosomal RNA", at positions 28 to 507 of the family's 1533-position model. The record is from RNAcentral.